RNAcentral lists this ribosomal RNA (279 nucleotides) under uncultured bacterium. RNAcentral's name for it is "partial 16S ribosomal RNA". It matches the Rfam family "Bacterial small subunit ribosomal RNA", at positions 506 to 784 of the family's 1533-position model. The record is from RNAcentral.
UGCCAGCAGCCGCGGUAAUACGAAUGGAGCAAGCGUUGUUCGGAAUCACUGGGCUUAAAGCGUGCGCAGGCGGACUUGAAAGUCAGGAGUGAAAUCCCAGGGCUCAACCCUGGAACUGCUUCUGAAACUCCAAGUCUAGAAUCCGAUAGAGGUUAGGGGAAUUCCUAGUGUAGAGGUGAAAUUCGCAGAUAUUAGGAGGAACACCAGUGGCGUAGGCGCCUAACUGGGUCGGUAUUGACGCUCAUGUACGAAAGCGUGGGGAGCAAACAGGAUUAGAUA